RNAcentral lists this ribosomal RNA (253 nucleotides) under uncultured bacterium. RNAcentral describes it as "partial 16S ribosomal RNA". It matches the Rfam family "Bacterial small subunit ribosomal RNA", at positions 524 to 776 of the family's 1533-position model. The record is from RNAcentral.
UACGGAGGGUGCAAGCGUUGCUCGGAAUUACUGGGCGUAAAGCGUGUGUAGGCGGCCUUGUAAGUCGGGUGUGAAAUCCCUAGGCUCAACCUAGGAACUGCGUCCGAAACUGCGAGGCUUGAGUGCCGGAGAGGGUGGUAGAAUUCCCGGUGUAGAGGUGAAAUUCGUAGAUAUCGGGAGGAAUACCGGUGGCGAAGGCGGCUACCUGGACGAGCACUGACGCUGAGACACGAAAGCGUGGGGAGCAAACAGG